GACGAACGCUGGCGGCGUGCUUAACACAUGCAAGUCGAACGGAAAGGCCCUGCUUUUGUGGGGUGCUCGAGUGGCGAACGGGUGAGUAACACGUGAGUAACCUGCCCUUGACUUUGGGAUAACUUCAGGAAACUGGGGCUAAUACCGGAUAGGAGCUCCUGCUGCAUGGUGGGGGUUGGAAAGUUUCGGCGGUUGGGGAUGGACUCGCGGCUUAUCAGCUUGUUGGUGGGGUAGUGGCUUACCAAGGCUUUGACGGGUAGCCGGCCUGAGAGGGUGACCGGCCACAUGGGGACUGGGAUACGGCCCAGACUCCUACGGGAGGCAGCAGUGGGGAAUAUUGCACAAUGGGCGGAAGCCUGAUGCAGCAACGCCGCGUGCGGAUGACGGCCUUCGGGUUGUAAACCGCUUUCGCCUGUGACGAAGCGUGAGUGACGGUAAUGGGUAAAGAAGCACCGGCUAACUACGUG
RNAcentral lists this ribosomal RNA (467 nucleotides) under uncultured bacterium. Its description in RNAcentral is "partial 16S ribosomal RNA". It matches the Rfam family "Bacterial small subunit ribosomal RNA", at positions 28 to 507 of the family's 1533-position model. The record is from RNAcentral.